GAUGAACGCUGGCGGCGUGCCUAAUACAUGCAAGUCGAGCGAACAGACGAGGAGCUUGCUCCUCUGACGUUAGCGGCGGACGGGUGAGUAACACGUGGAUAACCUACCUAUAAGACUGGGAUAACUUCGGGAAACCGGAGCUAAUAACGGAUAAUAUAUUGAACCGCAUGGUUCAAUAGUGAAAGACGGUUUUGCUGUCACUUAUAGAUGGAUCCGCGCCGCAUUAGCUAGUUGGUAAGGUAACGGCUUACCAAGGCAACGAUGCGUAGCCGACCUGAGAGGGUGAUCGGCCACACUGGAACUGAGACACGGUCCAGACUCCUACGGGAGGCAGCAGUAGGGAAUCUUCCGCAAAGGGCGAAAGCCUGACGGAGCAACGCCGCGUGAGUGAUGAAGGUCUUCGGAUCGUAAAACUCUGUUAUUAGGGAAGAACAAAUGUGUAAGUAACUAUGCACGUCUUGACGGUACCUAAUCAGAAAGCCACGGCUAACUACGUG
This 497-nucleotide ribosomal RNA is filed under the name uncultured bacterium. RNAcentral's name for it is "partial 16S ribosomal RNA". It matches the Rfam family "Bacterial small subunit ribosomal RNA", at positions 28 to 507 of the family's 1533-position model. The record is from RNAcentral.